Molecule: ribosomal RNA, 575 nt
Filed under: Squatina legnota (Indonesian angel shark)
Lineage: Eukaryota; Metazoa; Chordata; Chondrichthyes; Squatinidae
Description: partial 16S ribosomal RNA
Rfam family: Bacterial large subunit ribosomal RNA
Source: RNAcentral
CGCCUCUUGAUUACUAUAAGAGGUCCCGCCUGCCCUGUGACAAUGUUUAACGGCCGCGGUAUUUUGACCGUGCGAAGGUAGCGUAAUCACUUGUCUUUUAAAUGAAGACCUGUAUGAAAGGCAUCACGAGAGUUUAACUGUCUCUAUUUUCUAAUCAAUGAAAUUGAUUUUCCCGUGAAGAAGCGGGAAUAAUACCAUUAGACGAGAAGACCCUAUGGAGCUUCAAACACUUAGAUUAAUUUUGCAAAAUAUUUUUUACCCUAAGGGCUAAACCACAUAUAAUAUUUUUAAUUUAACUGUUUUUGGUUGGGGUGACCAAGGGGAAAAACAAAUCCCCCUUAUCGAUUGAGUACUAAGUACUUAAAAACUAAAGCGACAGCUUUAGUUGAUAAAAUAUUUAUCGAAAAAUGACCCAGGAUUUACUGAUCAAUGAACCAAGUUACCCUAGGGAUAACAGCGCAAUCCUUUCCAAGAGUCCCUAUCGCCGAAAGGGUUUACGACCUCGAUGUUGGAUCAGGACAUCCUAAUGGUGUAACCGUUAUUAAGGGUUCGUUUGUUCAACGAUUAAUAGUCCU